RNAcentral lists this ribosomal RNA (468 nucleotides) under uncultured bacterium. RNAcentral describes it as "partial 16S ribosomal RNA". It matches the Rfam family "Bacterial small subunit ribosomal RNA", at positions 28 to 507 of the family's 1533-position model. The record is from RNAcentral.
GACGAACGCUGGCGGCGUGCUUAACACAUGCAAGUCGAACGGAAAGGCCCUGCUUUUGUGGUGUGCUCGAGUGGCGAACGGGUGAGUAACACGUGAGUAACCUGCCCUUUACUGUGGGAUAACUUCAGGAAACUGGGGCUAAUACCGGAUAGGAGCUCCUGCUGCAUGGUGGGGGUUGGAAAGUUUCGGCGGUUGGGGAUGGACUCGCGGCUUAUCAGCGUGUUGGUGGGGUAGUGGCUUACCAAGGCUUUGACGGGUAGCCGGCCUGAGAGGGUGACCGGCCACAUUGGGACUGAGAUACGGCCAAGACUGCUACGGGAGGCAGCAGUGGAGAAUAGUGCACAAUGGGCGGAAGCCUGAUGCAGCAACGCCGCGUGCGGGAUGACGGCCUUCGGGUUGUAAACCGCUUUCGCCUGUGACGAAGCGUGAGUGACGGUAAUGGGUAAAGAAGCACCGGCUAACUACGUG